CCUACGGGAGGCAGCAGUGGGGAAUAUUGCACAAUGGGCGAAAGCCUGAUGCAGCAACGCCGCGUGAGCGAUGAAGGCCCUCGGGUCUUAAAGCUCUUUCCUCAAGGAAGUUAAUUACGGUACUUGAGGAUGAAGCCCCAUCUAAGUACGUGCCAGCAGCCGCGGUAAUACGUAGGGGGCUAGCGUUAUCCGGAAUUACUGGGCGUAAAGGGUACGUAGGUGGUUUCUUAAGGCAGAGGUGAAAGGCUACGGCUAAACCGUAGUAAGCCAUUGAAACUGGCAAACUUGAGUGUGUGAGAGGAUAGUGGAAUUCCAGGUGUAGGAGUGAAAUCCGUAGAUAUCUGGAGGAACAUCAGUGGCGAAGGCGACUAUCUGGCACAUCACUGACGCUGAGGAGCGAAAGCGUGGGUAGCAAACAGGAUUAGAUACCCGAGUAGUC
This 439-nucleotide ribosomal RNA is filed under the name uncultured bacterium. Its description in RNAcentral is "partial 16S ribosomal RNA". It matches the Rfam family "Bacterial small subunit ribosomal RNA", at positions 338 to 795 of the family's 1533-position model. The record is from RNAcentral.